GCUGGGGUUCCACCUUGCUUGUGCAGCCCGCCGUUGCGUCAGGUUGGGUGUCUUUAAACGGAUGCCCAUCUUUGGACGUGACCCCUUUACCUUGAACAAAUCGGAGUGCUCAAAGCAGCUCCUUUCGCUCGAACGGUAGCGCAUGGAAUAAUGGAAAAGGACCCGCUUUCUUUUCUGCUGGUCUAACGAAAGCAGGUAAUGAUCAAGAGGGACGGAUGGGGGCAGAGGUAUGGCUCGGCGAGAGGUGAAAUUCUUGGACCCCAGCCAGACCCUCGAGGGCGAAAGCAUCUGCCAAAGAUGUUACCAUUGAUCAAGAACGAAAGUCGCGGGAUCGAAGCGGAUUAGAGACCCGGACGUAGUCGCGACCGUAAACGAUGCCCAACCGGGAAUUUGACAGCGUUACUUCCAUGACCUGCCAAGCGCCCGACCCGGGAAACCGAGAGUUUUGGGUUCCGGGGGGAGUAUGGUUGCAAAGCUGAAACUUAAAGGAAUUGACGGAAGGGCACCACCAGAAGUGGAGCCUGCGGCUUAAUUUGACUCAACACGGGGAACCUCACCCGGCCCGGACACCGCGAGGAUUGACAGACUGAGAGCUCUUUCUCGAUUCGGUGGGUGGUGGUGCAUGGCCGUUCUUAGUUGGUGGAGCGAUCUGUCUGGUUAAUUCCGAUAACGAACGAGACCCCAUCCUGCUAACUAGCCCUCGGGUCCGGCUUCUGGCGGGCCCGAUGGAAUGACUCGCUUCUUAGAGGGACUCGCGGCGCCUAGCCGCACGAAGGGGGGCGAUAACAGGUCUGUGAUGCCCUUAGAUGUUCGGGGCUGCACGCGCGCUACACUGAAGGCACCAGCGUGCGCUUUGUCCGUUCCCUGCCUGAAAAGGCCGGGUAACCCGCUGAACCGCCUUCGUGCCUGGGAUAGGGAUUUGCAAUUAUCUCCCUUGAACGAGGAAUUCCCAGUAGGCGCGAGUCAUCAGCUCGCGUCGAUUACGUCCCUGCCCUUUGUACACACCGCCCGUCGCUACUACCGAU
This 1025-nucleotide ribosomal RNA is filed under the name Spadella cephaloptera. Its description in RNAcentral is "SSU rRNA". It matches the Rfam family "Eukaryotic small subunit ribosomal RNA", at positions 666 to 1689 of the family's 1831-position model. Lineage: Eukaryota; Metazoa; Chaetognatha; Sagittoidea; Phragmophora; Spadellidae. The record is from RNAcentral.